GACGAACGCUGGCGGCGUGCCUAAUACAUGCAAGUAGAACGCACAGUUUAUACCGUAGCUUGCUACACCAUAGACUGUGAGUUGCGAACGGGUGAGUAACGCGUAGGUAACCUGCCUGGUAGCGGGGGAUAACUAUUGGAAACGAUAGCUAAUACCGCAUAAUAUUGAUUAUUGCAUGAUAAUUAAUUGAAAGGUGCAAUUGCACCACUACCAGAUGGACCUGCGUUGUAUUAGCUAGUAGGUGAGGUAACGGCUCACCUAGGCGACGAUACAUAGCCGACCUGAGAGGGUGAGCGGCCACACUGGGACUGAGACACGGCCCAGACUCCUACGGGAGGCAGCAGUAGGGAAUCUUCGGCAAUGGACGAAAGUCUGACCGAGCAACGCCGCGUGAGUGAAGAAGGGUUUCGGAUCGUAAAGCUCUGUUGUAAGAGAAGAACGGGUGUGAGAGUGGAAAGUUCACACUGUGACGGUAUCUUACCAGAAAGGGACGGCUAACUACGUG
Molecule: ribosomal RNA, 505 nt
Filed under: uncultured bacterium
Lineage: Bacteria
Description: partial 16S ribosomal RNA
Rfam family: Bacterial small subunit ribosomal RNA
Source: RNAcentral